Molecule: long non-coding RNA, 1047 nt
Filed under: Coturnix japonica (Japanese quail)
Lineage: Eukaryota; Metazoa; Chordata; Aves; Galliformes; Phasianidae
Description: lncRNA (ENSCJPG00005016344.1)
Source: RNAcentral
UCAGUCCUUUAAGUGAGGAGUGAUGAUUUCAUCACGACCUGACAUGUCCUUCGUUUCCAGUAAGGAAAACAAACAAAACCUCACAGUUUUGAAAAUAUAGCCCAGACAUGCUGAACGCUCAUAAAAGGGCAGAGAGACCAUGGAUGGAACAGAAAAAAUAGCUUAAAAUGUCAUCAGAAGCUGUUAUGAUCUUUGAGAACACAAGCCUCAGUCUUGAGCAGAAGAUAAGGAGCAGAAUGACCUUGCAUCCUCCAGCCAUAUACCUGAUGUUAACAGUCGAGGAACCCAAGGCCAACCCAAGGACUGUAUCGUGGUGUGCAUAGACCAAUAGGCAUCCAAUUGAUCAAGCUCAGUGAUGCUCUUGGGAAGAGAGACGACACUGCAGAGAUCCCAUUCAUCAGCUUUAGCAGUUGGGAAAGGAUGGGAGAACAGCUCAUCACAGAGCUCUGCAUCCUGCACCAUGCUCACGUCUGCUGGGAUGCUCUCACUUCAGAGAUGGGUUUUGAAGAGUCAGCGGAGAGCAAAUGAGGUGAUGCCACAUCCUUGCCAGAAGUUAACCGGCCCUGACGCUGCUCACCCCAGUGCUGAGAGGCACCACGAGCUUCAAUGGGGAAGGUUUUUUGGUAUCUGGAUGGGAAGCAACUACACCCCCACUCUGAGCUCAUCAAUGCAUCGAGCAAAGCCAAGGCAGAAAUUGUUGUAUUCACUGCAUGAGACCUCGUUGAGUCUGAGGAGCAAAAUAGCUGCCCUAACAUCACACAGUUGUAAGCCAUUACUGGCAGCUGAGUCACUGAAUUAAUUCACCCUUCAGAGACCUCACCCACCUUGAACCUUGCAGCAAAUCCUUCUGCUCCAUCCCAUUGCCUGGAUACACCGCGUGUAGGAAACCAUCCUCCCCAAACCAACCUGUCUCCCCAGGGAUGUUCAGUCCACACAAUCACAGCUUCUUAGACAAGUUUUGCACUGAUCUGCUGAGCUUAGUCCUGGAAACCUCAUGCCCAUGUUCACCAGUCCAAACCAAGCAACAGAAAUGGAGUACAGAUGGAU